Homo sapiens (human) is the source of this 862-nucleotide non-coding RNA. The record is from RefSeq and is a predicted model, not a curated record. Lineage: Eukaryota; Metazoa; Chordata; Mammalia; Primates; Hominidae.
GCCAGGUACUGUGCUAAAUGAUGGGGCUGCAGAAAUCAAAGCAAAAAGCAAAUGUGUGGCCCUCAGGAGCCUGUGGUCUACUGAGGAAGACAAAAAGUCAAACUGUGAAUGACAACACAGUGCCAGCACUCCACGGCGAAGACCACAAGGGUGCUGUGGAAUUACACCAGAGGAGCAGCGCCUAACUUAGACUAGAGAGAGGACAGUUAUUAGAGAGAUGGUCAGAAAAAGCUGCUCAGAGGAGAUUCUGUCCAAAAUGAGUCUUGUAGGCUGGGUAGGUAAGUCAAGUGAAGGAGAAGGCUAUGCAAACAGAGAAAGCAACAACAGCAAAGAGAAAGAGCAGGGGUUAGCACAGAUGGAACUCACAGAACACUGGGGCUGGGAAAGGUGAAGCCCCAAGCAAACGGUCAACCGCUUGUAAGGAGUUGAGAAUUUAUCCUGAAGGUGACAGCGGGCCAGGGAAGAAAUUUCAGAAUGCAAGACCAUCAAGGCAAGGAUGUUAAUUUUCUUCAAUGAGGUAUCUCCUGUGUCUGGAAUGAUAUAAGGCUCAUCCCAGAUGAUGAAUGAACAGUGAAUCUGUGGAGCUUCAGCAUCCUCACCUAAGAUGGGAAUAGCUAUGCCCAUCUCCCGAGAUUAUUGUGGAGAUCAGAUGUUAUGCGUACAAAGCACAGGGCAUGAUACCUGAUACACAUCUUGCUCUAUAAAGACUGGUAGAGGAGUGUGUUGUUAUUGUUAUCAAUAUCAUUAUCAUUUUUAUCCAUAAAAUGAAGAUUAUAAAACCUAAGUUGCUGUGAAUAUUGAGACAAAGUAUGAAAAGUACCUGGCAACUGGAGAUGUUUAAUAAACUGGAAUUUAUUUUCUC